Molecule: ribosomal RNA, 518 nt
Filed under: Paulsilvella huveorum
Lineage: Eukaryota; Rhodophyta; Florideophyceae; Corallinales; Lithophyllaceae
Description: SSU rRNA
Rfam family: Eukaryotic small subunit ribosomal RNA
Source: RNAcentral
UGGUGGUGCAUGGCCGUUCUUAGUUGGUGGAGUGAUUUGUCUGGUUAAUUCCGUUAACGAGCGAGACCUGGGCGUGCUAAAUAGGGAGUAUUACCAAUUGGUAGUACGCGCCCUUCUUAGACGGACUGGGGGCGUCUAGCCCCCGGAAGCUCCAGGCAAUAACAGGUCUGAGAUGCCCUUAGAUGUUCUGGGCCGCACGCGUGCUACACUGAGUGGAUCAGCGGGUUAGGUAACACGAAAGUGUAUCCUAAUCUUCAAAUCCGCUCGUGAUGGGGAUUGAUGGUUGCAAUUUUCUAUCAUGAACGAGGAAUACCUUGUAAGCGCAUGUCAUCAUCAUGCGCUGAAUACGUCCCUGCCCUUUGUACACACCGCCCGUCGCUCCUACCGAUUGAGUGGUCCGGUGAGGCUUUGGGACCUAGGCGGAAAAAGCGUUUCGCUUGUUCUGCUCGGGAAACUCAGUCGAACCUUAUCAUUUAGAGGAAGGAGAAGUCGUAACAAGGUUUCCGUAGGUGAACCUG